CAGCUUUAUCUGAUUGCGUGGCAGGAAGCUGUGUGGUCAUGGAUGGGGCCGUUCUGGCCUGGGUCUUGAAAAGCUUUGCAAGACGCAAUUCAAUUAUUUUCAUGUUCUCCUGUGCUGCUAUCUCAAAUUCAACGAUGGGCCUAUUGAGGUAACGUUUCUAUAACAAGGCAUAUUCAGUACAUUAGCGAUAAUGAAAUAAAAUUGAAUGCAAUAGAGGUAACGUUUCUAUAACAAGGCAAUUCAAUUAUUUUCAUUUCCUCCUGUGCUGCUAUCUCAAAUUCAACGAUGGGCCUAUUGAGGUAACGUUUCUAUAACAAGGCAUAUUCAGUACAUUAACGAUAAUGAAGUAAAAUUGAAUGCAAUAGAGCUGCACUGAUAAGUAGCCAGCUUGUGACACAUGGUAAAAGCAUGAAUCAAAUAUCAUAUGAUGAUGAGUUUGUAGGUAUCAUUUCAAUCCAGUAAAACAGAUAAUUCAAGUUUCAAGUGGAGCCAUACAAUACAAGACAAUCCAAUCUCCAAUUUACAAACAACACAAGUCACACAAGCAUAUCAAUGGAAUUGACUCUAUUUUUAAACUUUAACUAAUGACCUAAAGGUAUCCCAAUAUCAAACUGUGUCCAAUGCACCAGAACGAAAAACCAGUGAAACAUCAAGGUACAUGAUC
This 664-nucleotide long non-coding RNA is filed under the name Elaeis guineensis (African oil palm). RNAcentral describes it as "long non-coding RNA (EGUI_LNC011231)". Lineage: Eukaryota; Viridiplantae; Streptophyta; Magnoliopsida; Arecales; Arecaceae. The record is from RNAcentral.